CACGAAUCUAAUCACGUCCGAGAUCAGCAACCUUUGGACUUACAAACAAUCGAGCAGCAGAGACGCAGAUUCUCUACUGAGAUUCUUCUGCUGCUCUCGAAUCUAAAAAAAAAAUGCGAGCUUUUUUUUCAAGGGAAAUAGGUAAGGCAGCUCCCGAUCAAUGAGAUCGCCAGCUCGAAAAUCUCAAAGAGACGAAGAAGGAAGCUCAGAUUCGGAGGAUUUAAGAGAUUUAGACGAAGAAUUUUACAAGAAAAUGGAGUUUUAUGAUGUAGAGAGGGAGAGAUCAGAGAGAUGAUGAUGAUGAUGAUAUGAUUCAGCUCUCUCUGUGUUGUGUUUCUCUUUUGUUUCGGUCGAGAGAAGGAAGGAAGGAGAAGAUUGGAUCGAGAAACAAAGAGCCGACGCAUACCACAAUUUUCUAUUUUUUUUAUUUAUAUUUUUUAUAGGGGGAUUUACGGGAAAAAAAAAGAAAGAAGAAAUAAUAGUCUCGUGACAAUGAUUUAUACUUACAGCUGUCUGGACACUAAUGGAAUAGCUGCACUUUCUACAAUUUCUUACUCUUUCUUCCUUUUUCAACUGUAAUUAAAUCAAUUAUCUACAGAUGAACGGCUCAAUUUUAGCAAAAUUAUUAAUUACCAAAACACAUGUUUAGCUUAUCAGGGAAAAUGCUGACGCCAACACGAAAUUGAAUAUUAAUACUAUAUUCAGUGAUGAAAAUUGGUAGAUAGGGGGGGCAUGCAAUGCAAACACUCCUCCUGACCCAUUAAACCUUUUGAGACCGUAACGAUUACUAUCUCUCUCUUUUUUUUUAUGUUUUAACUUUUUUGUGCUUACCGUGUUUGCGUGUUAGCUUAUAUAUUGUAAAAUAAGAUUAUUCAAGAACCCCAUCGAAGAUUAGCAUAAAUAUUAACUAGUAUUUUAUAUUCUGAAUGGUCAAAUAGUUCUUUUAGCUUGUACAAUCUCUGUAUAUUUUCUUUAUGUAAACCUUUUAGCUUGUACAAUCUCUGAUUAGUCACACAAAAAAAGAGUGAAACAGUCACAAACCUAUACUUGUGAUUCCAUAUGCACGAGGCUGGGUACAACAACAGGUAGCAAAUUUCAUUACCGUGAUUACCUACUUACAAAAUCUAUUUUUUACUCCCUCAUCAGUACUUUUAUGCUUACGCAAUCUCUUUUUAAUCCACAGUGACGAGAGAAAAAUGAUAAAAAAAAGGUUUCUUGACAUUACUACAAGUGAAGAGGAUUGCCAAAAGAGUAGAGAACCAAGGGCACAACAAUCAGUCCUUGCAAUCUGUUACACCUUCUGUAGAUAUUUGAAAUCGAGCUUCUGCUUCAGGCAAGCAUGGCGAGCUUAUCACUUUGCAGAUUCUCUCCUCUGCUCUCCCUUUCCUCAAUGCCAGCCUGUGUUAUUGAUACAUCAUCAACAAACAUACACUUUGCCAAUGAACCCUAGAAAAGAACACAAGGAUUACAAUUUGCAGACCUUGUUGUGGUGGCAUGAGCCAUGAUAUUCCCACCAAUCGGCUUAAACUGUGGACCAGCAAAAAGAGCAGAACCAUCUACUUGCGCAACUACUUGGUUCGUUAUAACAACAGCCACACCAAACUAGAGAGCCAUUAAACAUGUGAGAGAAAGUUUCAGGAUGGUGUCUCAGAGGAAUUUAAACAGUUAAUACUAAUGAAUGGUCACCUCAUCUGCUAAUUUCUGUAGACUUCUCAAGAACUUUGCAAGAUGCAUUUGUCGAGCCGAAAGCUCUCCCCUUCCAGAGAAAUCUGUCCUGUAGAGAGCGGUAGCACUAUCCACAAUCAUAAGAGCAAACCUGCGACAUCACAAUUUAACAAUUAGCACUCUCAUCAUGAACAAUAAUGGAACUGAACAUCAAAAGGAAACUCUAACUCAACGCACCUUGUUUCAACCAUCAUUGAUGCUGCUUCAAGCAGAAGCCUCGACUGAUGAUCAGUAUUAUAAGCCCUCGCAUAGGCAACGUUUUCAAGUACAUCAGCUCCAUUUAGUCCAAACCUGCAUCAUUUUAAAUUGAUUUCUUACGGAAUAUUCUGCCUCAAGAAACUCCAUCAUGCUCUCACGUGUUACAAAGAUAACAUACCUGUCAGCUAUCUGCAAUAGUCUUUGCGGCCUGAAUGUUCCCUCGGCAUCAAUGUACAUCGCCUUUCCCUCUCCACCCCCUUGAUCCAUAGGAAGCUAAUCAUUUAAACACAAACCUCAAUGUGAAUACAUUUCUCAAUUUUAAGUUCACUGGUUCCUACAAGAUAAGUAAUAAUAGCCGAGUGGUAUGCUCAGGAAAAGGUUCUUACUUGACAAGUUACACACAGUGUAUGGCACAACUGAGUCUUCCCGGAGCGGAACUCACCAUACAACUCAGUGAUGGAUCCGGUUUCAAUUCCUCCUAUUGACAGUACAGACUAAGUAAGUCAUAAUAGCAAAAUGACCUUUCAAGACCAAAAAUCAGAAACCAACCUUCAAGAACUUUGUCUAGUUCGCGGGAGCCAGAGGUAAUCUGAAUGAUCUCCUGUCUCUGAGCAUGGAGCUGGCUAGCACUAGUGAAUCCCAAAGGAACCAGCUUUGAAGCUGUCACAGAGGUAAAACACACACAAAUAAGAAAAUGCAUAAACUCCAACAAGGAUCAAAGGCAUAACUUUGACAAAAAAAAACACAUACCAAUGAUACCAUAACAGACAGCAACACGUUUCAGUCCGCCUGUGGCCUUGUUUCCUUCGUGUAUCCGUUUAAGCAACUCGUAGCAUUCUUUUUUGGUAUAAGCAGUAGAGUCCUCACUGACAUUAAGCUCAGACGCACCAAGCCGGUCUAUCUUUAGCACUCUAUACACUCCACUACCAUUCCAACCAAUCAUAUAGAAAUUCUGAAAAAAAAAAACAAAAAAGAAGAUCAUGUUAGUAAAAUGAUCUAAAGGGAACCAAUAAUACAAAUGAUCCUUGGGAAUCAAAAGGUGGAAGCUUUGGUUACCGAAUGAGUCUGGAAGAGCUUGAACUCUUGCAUACAGCCAUGAAGGGAAGAUGAUCCAGAGGAGGAGGAUGAGCCUCCUCCAUUCUCCAUUGAUGAGGAUGAGGUGGUCAUAGCUGAUUCCCAAAUUAACUCUUUUCCUUUCGACAGUGACCUUUUGACUUACAGAUCUAAGCCAAAGCCGCCGCAACAAACAAUCUCUCUCGCCGGAACAUUCACCAAUUUUGAAACUUUCUCAGAGGAGAAAGAAAGAAAGAAACAAACCAAAUAAAAAAGAUGCUCUUAAACACUCACAACACGAAUCUAAUCACGUCCGAGAUCAGCAACCUUUGGACUUACAAACAAUCGAGCAGCAGAGACGCAGAUUCUCUACUGAGAUUCUUCUGCUGCUCUCGAAUCUAAAAAAAAAAUGCGAGCUUUUUUUUCAAGGGAAAUAGGUAAGGCAGCUCCCGAUCAAUGAGAUCGCCAGCUCGAAAAUCUCAAAGAGACGAAGAAGGAAGCUCAGAUUCGGAGGAUUUAAGAGAUUUAGACGAAGAAUUUUACAAGAAAAUGGAGUUUUAUGAUGUAGAGAGGGAGAGAUC
This 3557-nucleotide long non-coding RNA is filed under the name Brassica napus (rape). Its description in RNAcentral is "long non-coding RNA (BNAP_LNC002071)". Lineage: Eukaryota; Viridiplantae; Streptophyta; Magnoliopsida; Brassicales; Brassicaceae. The record is from RNAcentral.